GCCUGUAAUCCAGUCACUGGGAGGCUGAGGUUGGUGGAUCGAGUGAGCUGAGGAGCUCUGGGCUGUACCGCGCUAUGUUGAACAGGUGUCCUCACUACGAUCGAUAUGGUGCUCCUGGGGGAGUCUGGUACCACCAGGUCGGCUAUAGAGGGGUGCACUAGCCCAGGUUGGAAACUAAGCAGGUCAAAGCCCACAUGCUGUCCAGCAGUGGGAUACUGCCUGUGAGUAUGUGUUAAAAAUAUCUACUUCAUGGUGGCAACUGUCUCUGCGAUACUUACUUUUU
RNAcentral lists this signal recognition particle RNA (283 nucleotides) under Salmo salar (Atlantic salmon). RNAcentral's name for it is "Metazoan signal recognition particle RNA (ENSSSAG00070017817.1)". It matches the Rfam family "Metazoan signal recognition particle RNA". From Rfam's summary of the family: The signal recognition particle (SRP) is a universally conserved ribonucleoprotein. It is involved in the co-translational targeting of proteins to membranes. The eukaryotic SRP consists of a 300-nucleotide 7S RNA and six proteins: SRPs 72, 68, 54, 19, 14, and 9. Lineage: Eukaryota; Metazoa; Chordata; Actinopteri; Salmoniformes; Salmonidae. The record is from Rfam by way of RNAcentral.